Molecule: ribosomal RNA, 301 nt
Filed under: uncultured bacterium
Lineage: Bacteria
Description: partial 16S ribosomal RNA
Rfam family: Bacterial small subunit ribosomal RNA
Source: RNAcentral
CAGCAGCCGCGGGAACACGUAGGGGGCAAGCGUUGUCCGGAAUCAUUGGGCGUAAAGCGCGUGUAGGCGGCUCGAUAAGUCUGCUGUGAAAGUUCAGGGCUCAACCCUGAAAUGCCGGUGGAAACUGUCGAGCUUGAGUCCGGAAGAGGCAAGUGGAAUUCCUGGUGUAGCGGUGAAAUGCGCAGAUAUCAGGAGGAACACCAAUGGCGAAGGCAGCUUGCUGGGACGGUACUGACGCUGAGACGCGAAAGCGUGGGGAGCAAACAGGAUUAGAUACCCGCGUAGUCCCUGUCUCUUAUAC